GUCCGUUAGUUUUUUCCAUAUCUGAAUUAAUCAGUGUUGGCCGCGUACUAGUUGUCAUAUAUAAAUUUUAGUACUUCUUAUGAUGACAAUACAGCAGUUUACUCAAGGAAUGGAGACGCAUGGAUUCACUUAUCUCACACGUGGGAAAGUAUCAACAUCCUACAUUAAUGGACUGGAGGAGGUCGAGAAUAUUGCAGGUUUAAUGCAGUCUACGUAUAAUAGUUACUCAAAAAGGCAGUACGGCAGAUCACUCAAGUCACGCUGAUACAUGAAUUCACAUUUCUCACGCGUGGGAUAGUAUCAACAGCCUACGUUGCAAAUGAACUAGAAGAUGCUGAGAAUAAUACGUGUUAUAUGCAAUAUGGCAGUACGGCAGUUCACUUAAGGAAUUCUGACGCAUGGAUUCACUUAUCUCACACGUGGGAAAGUAUCAACAUCCUAUGUUGCAAAUGGACUAGAAGAUGCUGAGAAUAAUACGUGUUAUAUGCAAUAUGGCAGUACGGCAGUUCACUUAAGGAAUUCUGACGCAUGGAUUCACUUAUCUCACACGUGGGAAAGUAUCAACAUCCUAUGUUGCAAAUGGACUAGAAGAUGCUGAGAAUAAUACGUGUUAUAUGCAAUAAGGCAGUACGGCAGAUCACUCAAGUCACGCUGAUACAUGAAUUCACAUUUCUCACGCGUGGGAUAGUAUCAACAGCCUACGUUGCAAAUGAACUAGAAGAUGCUGAGAAUAAUACGUGUUAUAUGCAAUAUGGCAGUACGGCAGUUCACUUAAGGAAUUCUGACGCAUGGAUUCACUUAUCUCACACGUGGGAAAGUAUCAACAUCCUAUGUUGCAAAUGGACUAGAAGAUGCUGAGAAUAAUACGUGUUAUAUGCAAUAUGGCACUACGGCAGAUCACACAAGGCAUGCUGAGACAUGGAUUCACAUUUC
This 933-nucleotide unclassified non-coding RNA is filed under the name Rhopalosiphum maidis (corn leaf aphid). RNAcentral's name for it is "uncharacterized LOC113559392, transcript variant X20". Lineage: Eukaryota; Metazoa; Arthropoda; Insecta; Hemiptera; Aphididae. The record is from RNAcentral.